Molecule: ribosomal RNA, 376 nt
Filed under: uncultured bacterium
Lineage: Bacteria
Description: bacterial SSU rRNA
Rfam family: Bacterial small subunit ribosomal RNA
Source: RNAcentral
UACGGAGGGUGCAAGCGUUAAUCGGAAUCACUGGGCGUGAAGCGCUCGUAGGCGGUUUUGUCGGUCAGAUGUGAAAGCCCGGGGCUCAACCCCGGACGUGCAUUUGAAACAGCAAGACUUGAGUACGGGAGAGGAAAGCGGAAUUCCUGGUGUAGAGGUGAAAUUCGUAGAUAUCAGGAGGAACACCGAUGGCGAAGGCAGCUUUCUGGACCGAUACUGACGCUGAGGCGCGAAGGCGUGGGUAGCGAACAGGAUUAGAUACCCUGGUAGUCCACGCAGUAAACGAUGUACACUCGGUGUAGCGGAUAUUAAAAUCUGCUGCGCCCAAGCUAACGCAUUAAGUGUACCGCCUGGGGAGUACGGUCGCAAGACUAAA